RNAcentral lists this ribosomal RNA (253 nucleotides) under uncultured bacterium. RNAcentral's name for it is "partial 16S ribosomal RNA". It matches the Rfam family "Bacterial small subunit ribosomal RNA", at positions 524 to 776 of the family's 1533-position model. The record is from RNAcentral.
AACGUAGGUGGCGAGCGUUAUCCGGAUUUACUGGGCGUAAAGGGUGUGCAGGCGGGCUGUUAAGUGGUGUAUGAAAUAUCCCGGCUCAACCGGGAAGGGUUAUGCCAGACUGGCAGUCUAGAGAGCGAGAGAGGGACGUGGAAUUCUGGGUGUAGUGGUGAAAUGCGUAGAGAUCCGGAGGAACCCCAGAGGCGAAGGCGGCGUCCUGGCUCGCAUCUGACGCUCAGACACGACAGCAUGGGGAGCGAACGGG